Molecule: long non-coding RNA, 896 nt
Organism: Homo sapiens (human)
Lineage: Eukaryota; Metazoa; Chordata; Mammalia; Primates; Hominidae
Gene: HULC
Product: hepatocellular carcinoma up-regulated long non-coding RNA
Source: Ensembl
UCUUCCUUCUGCGUGCUACUUGAUCUAAAUGAGAUACGGCAAAGUCACAGAACCUGUUUUUAUGUUUUUGCCUGAUUCAUACGGGCUUCUCCGGUGAAGAUGGGCCUGAAGUAACGCUUGGGUUGCUUCUGACGUUAUAACUCAUCCUGUAGCUGCAGCAACCGUGGUCCUUGCAACCUCAUAAAAAUGUUGCCAGCAUUGUUUCGAUAGUGCUGCUUAAUUCUUGGAAGGUUCUUCGGACUUCACACAUUCCAGCAGUAGCUCUCUCAGCUCCUGUCCUGCACAGCUUUGAAGUGCUGGUGAUGUCAUUGAACUCUUAAGUGCAAGAUGAAACAAGUCUUUCUGGGGUUCUAAGUAGCGUCUUCAAAGUGUCUUCUGUAAAGACUUCUUCAGACUGUCAAUAGGAAGACUGAUAAACUCAGUUCAGAUGCGAGAGGAAAUCGAGUCAUCAUCAAUGGCACCUCAUGUUAGCCUGCCAUGGCAACAAGCUCAUUGAUUGAGUAAAAGAACUUUCAGAUGCACUAGCUGGUCUUUAACGGGUUGCUGAAAGCACAGAUAAGACGACUGAGGGAGCCGACUGAAUUUCCAUGGAUAUAUACAAAGGGAAUGGAAAAUCACAAGAAAUUUGAGUUAAGCAUUUUAUGAGACCAUGUGGGUACAGUUUGAAUCUACUAAAGAAGGAAAUUGAGCAUUAAGCAUAGCACCUUGCUCUUGCUCCACCGUACCUUCUAAGGGCUCGCAUGCAGAGAAUACCUGUGAUCCAGUGCCAGCUUUCAUCACCGCUUUGCAUAGCCAGCUUACAUUAACUUGAAAGAGAGUUCCAGGUGCAUUCAAGUUCUGCUGAAGAAAUGGAAAUUUGGAAGCUCUAUUAUUAGCUUAGGCCAUUUUCAAAUCAC